AUUGAACGCUGGCGGCGUGCUUAACACAUGCAAGUCGAUCGGUAACAGGUGUAGCAAUACAUGCUGACGAGAGGCGGACGGGUGAGUAAUGCUUGGGAAUCUGCCUAUUAGUGGGGGACAACCCGGGGAAACUCGGGCUAAUACCGCAUACGCUCUACGGAGGAAAGCCGGGGACCGCAAGGCCUGGCGCUAAUAGAUGAGCCCAAGUCGGAUUAGCUAGUUGGUAGGGUAACGGCCUACCAAGGCGACAAUCCGUAGCUGGUCUGAGAGGACGACCAGCCACACCGGAACUGAGACACGGUCCGGACUCCUACGGGAGGCAGCAGUGGGGAAUAUUGGACAAUGGGGGCAACCCUGAUCCAGCGACGCCGCGUGGGUGAAGAAGGCCUGCGGGUUGUAAAGCCCUUUCGGUGGGGAAGAAAAGUCUCGACCUAAUACGUCGGGACCUUGACGUAACCCACUAAAGAAGCACCGGCUAACUCUGUGCCAGCCGCCGCCGUAAG
This 503-nucleotide ribosomal RNA is filed under the name uncultured bacterium. RNAcentral describes it as "bacterial SSU rRNA". It matches the Rfam family "Bacterial small subunit ribosomal RNA", at positions 29 to 524 of the family's 1533-position model. The record is from RNAcentral.